UGGGGGCAACCCUGAUCCAGCAAUGCCAUGUGUGUGAAGAAGGCCCUAGGGUUGUAAAGCACUUUAGUUGGGGAGGAAAGCCUCAAGGUUAAUAGCCUUGGGGGAGGACGUUACCCAAAGAAUAAGCACCGGCUAACUCCGUGCCAGCAGCCGCGGUAAUACGGGGGGUGCAAGCGUUAAUCGGAAUUACUGGGCGUAAAGGGUC
RNAcentral lists this ribosomal RNA (205 nucleotides) under Francisella tularensis. RNAcentral's name for it is "partial ribosomal RNA". It matches the Rfam family "Bacterial small subunit ribosomal RNA", at positions 372 to 569 of the family's 1533-position model. The record is from RNAcentral. Lineage: Bacteria; Pseudomonadati; Pseudomonadota; Gammaproteobacteria; Thiotrichales; Francisellaceae.